This 366-nucleotide ribosomal RNA is filed under the name Triticum aestivum (bread wheat). RNAcentral describes it as "partial small subunit ribosomal RNA". The record is from RNAcentral. Lineage: Eukaryota; Viridiplantae; Streptophyta; Magnoliopsida; Poales; Poaceae.
AUGCCAGAUGGAGCUAACGAUACUUCUAUUGUUCUCAUACCAAAAGUACCAAACCCAAAAAGCUUGCAGGAUUACAGACCUAUAAGUUUGUGCAAUGUGACUUAUAAGGUUAUUUCCAAGUGUUUGGUUAAUCGACUUAGGCCUUUGCUUGAUGGUAUAAUCUCUCCCGAACAGAGUGCUUUUGUACCGGGAAGAUUAAUUACGGACAAUGCACUAGUGGCUUUUGAGUGUAUCCACUAUAUAAAGCAGGAAAAAGAUCCUACAAAGAGUUUUUGUGCUUAUAAGCUAGACCUAUCUAAAGCUUAUGAUAGGGUGGCUUGGGCCUUCUUGAAGCAAGUGAUGCAAAAGUUGGGUUUCUCUCAAUGA